CUGACAUGCGUGCGAGUCGACGGGUUCUGAAACCUGGGAUGCGCAAGGAAGCUGACGAGCGGGAGGCCCUCACGGGCCGCACCACUGGCCGACCCUGAUCUUCUGUGAAGGGUUCGAGUUGGAGCACACCUGUCGGGACCCGAAAGAUGGUGAACUAUGCCUGAGCGGGGCGAAGCCAGAGGAAACUCUGGUGGAGGCUCGAAGCGAUACUGACGUGCAAAUCGUUCGUCUGACUUGGGUAUAGGGGCGAAAGACUAAUCGAACCAUCUAGUAGCUGG
RNAcentral lists this ribosomal RNA (278 nucleotides) under Triticum aestivum (bread wheat). RNAcentral's name for it is "rRNA LSU_rRNA_eukarya". It matches the Rfam family "Eukaryotic large subunit ribosomal RNA", at positions 675 to 954 of the family's 3401-position model. The record is from Rfam by way of RNAcentral. Lineage: Eukaryota; Viridiplantae; Streptophyta; Magnoliopsida; Poales; Poaceae.